Molecule: ribosomal RNA, 468 nt
Filed under: uncultured bacterium
Lineage: Bacteria
Description: partial 16S ribosomal RNA
Rfam family: Bacterial small subunit ribosomal RNA
Source: RNAcentral
GACGAACGCUGGCGGCGUGCUUAACACAUGCAAGUCGAACGGACAGGCCCGGCGUUUGUUGGGUGGUCGUUUGGCGAACGGGGGAGUAACACGUGAGUAACCUGCCCUUGACUUUGGGGGAACUUUUGGGAAAUGGGGCGAAUACCGGGGAUGAGCUCCUGCUGCAUGUGGGGGGUUGGAAAGAUUCGGCUGUGGGGGAUGGAAUCGAUGCUUAUCAGCUGGUUUGUGGGGUAGGGGCUUACCAAGGCUAUGACGGGUAGGCGGCCUGAGAGGGUGACCGGCCACAUGGGGACUGCGAUACGCACCAGAAUCCUACGGGAGGCAGCAGUGGGGAAUAUUGCACAAUGGCGGGAAGCCUGAUGCAGCAACGCCGCGUGCGGGAUGCCGGGCUACGGGUUGUAAACCGAUUUCGAAUGUGACGAAGCCUGAGUGACGGUAAUGGGUCAAGAAGCACCGGCUAACUACGUG